GGCUACGUAGCUCAAUGGUAGAGCAGCUUCUUCAUAAGGAGAAGGUUUACAGGUUCGAGUCCUGUCGUAGCCACCA
This 76-nucleotide transfer RNA is filed under the name Candidatus Shapirobacteria bacterium CG08_land_8_20_14_0_20_39_18. RNAcentral's name for it is "tRNA-Met". It matches the Rfam family "tRNA". Rfam says of the family: Transfer RNA (tRNA) molecules are approximately 80 nucleotides in length. Their secondary structure includes four short double-helical elements and three loops (D, anti-codon, and T loops). Further hydrogen bonds mediate the characteristic L-shaped molecular structure. tRNAs have two regions of fundamental functional importance: the anti-codon, which is responsible for specific mRNA codon recognition, and the 3' end, to which the tRNAs corresponding amino acid is attached (by aminoacyl-tRNA synthetases). tRNAs cope with the degeneracy of the genetic code in two manners: having more than one tRNA (with a specific anti-codon) for a particular amino acid; and 'wobble' base-pairing, i.e. permitting non-standard base-pairing at the 3rd anti-codon position. Lineage: Bacteria; Candidatus Shapironibacteriota. RNAcentral also lists the same sequence under 1 other name. The record is from RNAcentral.